This 1451-nucleotide long non-coding RNA is filed under the name Piliocolobus tephrosceles (Ugandan red Colobus). RNAcentral's name for it is "lncRNA (ENSPTEG00000019453.1)". Lineage: Eukaryota; Metazoa; Chordata; Mammalia; Primates; Cercopithecidae. The record is from RNAcentral.
AUAGCUACUUGUUUUGACACAUAGUUAUUUGUUUUGACACAUAGCUACUUGUUUUGUGCUUUUAUAUGUAUAUUAUGAUAAAACGAAUUAUACAUGGUAACCGAUAUGGAAGAAGAGGGAAACGUAGGUCAGCCUGAAACAAGUACGAGGUGCUUAGUACAUUUAGAGCGAAUAGAAGAAAACGAAAAUAAUUACAUAAAUGUAAUAUUAGAUUUUAAAAAAUUAAAACUACAGAAUGAAAAAGAAUUUGCGUAUGAAAUAAGUUUAUCUAACAAAUAUCUAUUAAAUGAGUUGGAAAAAAUAAAAAAGAAAUUAAAAGAAAUGAUGGAAAAAGAAAAUAAGUUAACAAGGUAUGUAAAAAAUAAAAAAAAGGAUGUAUACAAUGACUCCUGUAGUAGUAGUAACAGUAGCAGUAGUAGUAGUAGUAGUAGUAGUAGUAGUAGUAGUAGUAGUAGCAAUUGUGGUGAUAUAAAAGUUAAUUUAAAUGUUAUGUGGGAAUUAGACUUAUCAUGUAAUUGCUUUACUGAAAUAAAUGUUGACACAAUUAUGUCAACUCUUAUAAAAUAUAAAAUAGUAAAUGAUAAAACAGUAUUAAAAGUGAGCAAUUUAAAAUCAUUAAAUAUUAGAAAAAACUGUUUGAAAUAUUUCCCUUAUAUGUCUAAAUACGAAUUUAAAAAUUUGGAUUUGCUAUGUUUGUCGCACAAUUUGCUUAUGUACAUAAGUGAGAAAGAGGAAAAGAAAGAAGAGGUAGAUAAUGUGGAUAAGGAAAAGGACGAUAAAGGUGUUAACGAUAUGGAAAAAAAUGAUAUAUUAAAAAAAAAUGGUAUAUUAAAAAAAAAUGGUAUAUUAAAUAAAAGUGCCCCUUUUUUAAACAAACUAUAUUUGCAAAAUAAUAAAAUUAAUUCAUUAACAUACUUAGAAUGGUUGUUAAAUCAUCACAAUAACAUAACACAUAUAAAUAUUAGUUUUAAUAAAAUAACUUUAUUUUCUUACCUUCCUUACUUAAAAAAUUUGCAAUAUUUUAAUUUAUCAUUCAAUAAUAUAUCACUAUACAAUAAUGAAGAAAAUAAAAAAACAACGAACGUAGAGAACGUAGAGAACGUAGAGAACGUAGAGAACGUAGAGAAAAUAGAGAACAACAUCGAAGCAGAAGAGAAAAUAUUUUCUUUAAAAAAUACAGAAAAUCAUAAUAAUUUUGAAAAAGAAGAUUUGGUAUAUUACCAAUUUUUAACUCAAUUAAAAAAUAGCUUUCCGAAUUUACAAAACAUUAAUAUAAAAUAUACUCCAAUGUAUGAUAAAAUGAAAAACUGCAUAAAAAAAAAAUAAAGAACUUAUUUUUUGUUCUUAUUGACAAAACGUCCUUUUAAUGCUACUGUUGCGUUUAAAACAUGUGAUUUAUUCACAUACACACAUGAAAAACAAUGCCUAGUAUUUUAUAUUUGUAUUGGUGU